This 255-nucleotide ribosomal RNA is filed under the name uncultured bacterium. Its description in RNAcentral is "partial 16S ribosomal RNA". It matches the Rfam family "Bacterial small subunit ribosomal RNA", at positions 524 to 776 of the family's 1533-position model. The record is from RNAcentral.
UACGUAGGGUGCAAGCGUUUAAUCGGAAUUACUGGGCGUAAAGCGUGCGCAGGCGGUUUUGUAAGUCUGUCGUGAAAUCCCCGGGCUCAACCUGGGAAUUGCGAUGGAGACUGCAAGGCUAGAAUCUGGCAGAGGGGGGUAGAAUUCCACGUGUGAGCAGUGAAAUGCGUGGAGAUGUGGAGGAACACCGAUGGCGAAGGCAGCCCCCUGGGUCAAGAUUGACGCUCAUGCACGAAAGCGUGGGGAGCAAACAGG